RNAcentral lists this ribosomal RNA (468 nucleotides) under uncultured bacterium. Its description in RNAcentral is "partial 16S ribosomal RNA". It matches the Rfam family "Bacterial small subunit ribosomal RNA", at positions 28 to 507 of the family's 1533-position model. The record is from RNAcentral.
GACGAACGCUGGCGGCGUGCUUAACACAUGCAAGUCGAACGGAAAGGCCCUGCUUUUGUGGGGUGCUCGAGUGGCGAACGGGUGAGUAACACGUGAGUAACCUGCCCUUGACUUUGGUAUAACUUCAGGAAACUGGGGCUAAUACCGGAUAGGAGCUCCUGCUGCAUGGUGGGGGUUGGAUAGUUUCGGCGGUUGGGGAUGGACUCGCGGCUUAUCAGCUUGUUGGUGGGGUAGUGGCUUACCAAGGCUUUGACGGGUAGCCGGCCUGAGAGGGUGACCGGCCACAUUGGGACUGAGAUACGGCCCAGACUCCUACGGGAGGCAGCAGUGGGGAAUAUUGCACAAUGGGCGGAAGCCUGAUGCAGCAACGCCGCGUGCGGGAUGACGGCCUUCGGGUUGUAAACCGCUUUCGCCUGUGACGAAGCGUGAGUGACGGUAAUGGGUAAAGAAGCACCGGCUAACUACGUG